Drosophila suzukii is the source of this 525-nucleotide RNA transcript. It is a transcript of the gene named RNA-binding protein cabeza, with no coding region annotated. The record is from RefSeq and is a predicted model, not a curated record. NCBI's taxonomy places the organism in Eukaryota, Metazoa, Arthropoda, Insecta, Diptera, Drosophilidae.
AAUGAUUCAAUUUCAUGCAUUUCGCUUUGCGGCUAUGGGGAUGCUUAUUAGUUGCAAUUUGCCAGCUGCGGCCAAAGUUUGCUCUAUCCGAAAACCAACAGCAAACCCCAGAAACUAAACCAAAUAAAUUUAAUAAUUGCCAUCCUGAGAAGUUGAUAGAAUGGGUAAAAACAAAGGAGGUGGCGGCGGAGGAGGAGGAGGAGGAGGUGGUGGAGGGGGCGGAGGAGGCGGCGGCGGCAAUGUAAGCAAUAUUUGUGUUAUGCAACUUGCGUACUAAUUAAAAAAGGAGGCGGUGGCGGAGGAGGCGGCGCAGGCGGAUCCGGAAAUAAAAACAAAGGCGGCGAUGGAGGCGGCGGUGACAAAGGUGGAGCCAAGAAAGGACAGGACCAAAAGGCAGCCGCAGGCGGUGGCAAAAAAGGAGGCAAGAAAUAGCAACGGUGGCAACAUCAAAGCGCAUUAAAAAUUACAAAUUUAGAGUUAAGUUGAAAUUAAAAGUGAUAUCAGGGUUUAUGUAUCCAUAAUGUA